RNAcentral lists this ribosomal RNA (253 nucleotides) under uncultured bacterium. Its description in RNAcentral is "partial 16S ribosomal RNA". It matches the Rfam family "Bacterial small subunit ribosomal RNA", at positions 524 to 776 of the family's 1533-position model. The record is from RNAcentral.
UACGAAGGGUGCAAGCGUUACUCGGAAUUACUGGGCGUAAAGCGUGCGUAGGUGGUGCGUUAAGUCUGUCGUGAAAGCCCCGGGCUCAACCUGGGAAUGGCGAUGGAUACUGGCGCGCUAGAGUGCGGUAGAGGAGAGUGGAAUUCCCGGUGUAGCAGUGAAAUGCGUAGAGAUCGGGAGGAACAUCAGUUGCGAAGGCGGUUCUCUGGACCAGCACUGACACUGAGGCACGAAAGCGUGGGGAGCAAACAGG